GAUAUCAAGGAACUUGUGAUUUAUGCCAUAACUAACAUAACCUCGACAUAUCACAGUUUACUUGCUGUCGC
This 71-nucleotide microRNA precursor is filed under the name Caenorhabditis brenneri. RNAcentral describes it as "microRNA cbn-mir-43 precursor (cbn-mir-43-1, cbn-mir-43-2)". Its record names the gene cbn-mir-43-1. It matches the Rfam family "mir-43 microRNA precursor family", at positions 11 to 79 of the family's 87-position model. Lineage: Eukaryota; Metazoa; Nematoda; Chromadorea; Rhabditida; Rhabditidae. The record is from miRBase by way of RNAcentral.